GGUUGUGGCUCAGUGGUAGAGGGCUUGCCUAGCAUAUGCAAGGCCCUGGGUUCGAUCCUUAGCACCA
This 67-nucleotide transfer RNA is filed under the name Marmota monax (woodchuck). RNAcentral describes it as "tRNA.Ala". The record is from RNAcentral. Lineage: Eukaryota; Metazoa; Chordata; Mammalia; Rodentia; Sciuridae.